UACGAAGGGGGCUAGCGUUGCUCGGAAUCACUGGGCGUAAAGCGCACGUAGGCGGACUGUUAAGUCAGGGGUGAAAUCCUGGAGCUCAACUCCAGAACUGCCUUUGAUACUGGCGAUCUUGAGUCCGGGAGAGGUGAGUGGAACUGCGAGUGUAGAGGUGAAAUUCGUAGAUAUUCGCAAGAACACCAGUGGCGAAGGCGGCUCACUGGCCCGGUACUGACGCUGAGGUGCGAAAGCGUGGGGAGCAAACAGG
Molecule: ribosomal RNA, 253 nt
Filed under: uncultured bacterium
Lineage: Bacteria
Description: partial 16S ribosomal RNA
Rfam family: Bacterial small subunit ribosomal RNA
Source: RNAcentral